UGUGAACGCUGGCGGUAUGCUUUACACAUGCAAGUCGUACGGGAGUUUUGAACUCAAGUGGCGGACGGGUGAGUAACACGUAAGAAUUUGCCUUUAGGAGGGGGAUAACAGCUGGAAACAGUUGCUAAUACCCCAUAUGCUUUCGAGUGAAAUGGAUUUUUCCGCCUAGAGAGAAGCUUGCGGCUGAUUAGCUUGUUGGUAAGGUAAUGGCUUACCAAGGCGACGAUCAGUAUCUGGUUUGAGAGGACGAUCAGACACACUGGAACUGAGACACGGUCCAG
This 281-nucleotide ribosomal RNA is filed under the name uncultured bacterium. Its description in RNAcentral is "partial 16S ribosomal RNA". It matches the Rfam family "Bacterial small subunit ribosomal RNA", at positions 29 to 334 of the family's 1533-position model. The record is from RNAcentral.